Molecule: ribosomal RNA, 765 nt
Filed under: Trapeliopsis sp. S40723
Lineage: Eukaryota; Fungi; Ascomycota; Lecanoromycetes; Trapeliales; Trapeliaceae
Description: SSU rRNA
Rfam family: Bacterial small subunit ribosomal RNA
Source: RNAcentral
AAGCUGCUUGUACUANUAACUAGHGUAAGAUCGACUAUGUUGACUAAAGUUCUAGGUAGAGAUUUGAUAAUGACAUUUUCUAUCUAUGUGUCUUGACCAAAUCACGUGCCAGCAGUCGCGGUAAUACGUGGAAGACUAGUGUUAUUCAUCUUUAAUAGGUUUAAAGGGUACUUAGACGGUUGAUUAAGCCUCAAAAGGUACUAAUCGACUAGAGUUUUAUGCAAGAGGGGGAGUACUAAAGAGUGUAGAGAUGAAAUUCUGUCAUACCUGAUUUGGAACAGACAACGGCGAAAGCAACCUUUUAUGUAAAAACUGACGUUGAAAGACGAAGGCUUAGGACACCAACAGGAUUAGAUACCCCAGCAGUCUAAGCAGACAAUGAUGAAUGUCAUAGAUUAGAAUUAUAUUUUUGUCUAUAAAUGAAAGUGUAAGCAUUCCACCUCAAGAGUAAUGUGGCAACGCAGGAACUGAAAUCAUUAGACCGUUUCUGAAACCAGUAGUGAAGUAUGUUGUUUAAUUUGUCGGUCCGCAAAACACCUUACCACAAUUUGAAUAUUUUUAUUUUAAACAAUAUAUUAUAUUGUUUAAAAUAAUAUUACAAGCGUUGCACGGCUGUUUUCAGUUAAUGUCGUGAGAUUUUGGUUAGUUCCUUAAAAUUAACGUAAACCCUUGCUUUAUUUAUUAAUAUAAAGUAGUUCUCCGUUAUAUUGGAUAUGAUAAAAGGGAAUAAGACAAGCCCAUAUGGCCUUAAUAUUGUGGGCUAUA